UGUGGCGACUAUACUGGCGUUGUCCCACCCGAUCCCAUUUCGAACUCGGAAGUGAAAUACGCCAAGGCCGAUGGUAGUCCGAAAGGGCGAGAGUAGGUAGUUGCCACAA
Molecule: ribosomal RNA, 109 nt
Filed under: Patescibacteria group bacterium
Lineage: Bacteria
Source: RNAcentral